Small nucleolar RNA from Rhododendron vialii, 93 nucleotides. RefSeq annotates it as small nucleolar RNA U61. NCBI's taxonomy places the organism in Eukaryota, Viridiplantae, Streptophyta, Magnoliopsida, Ericales, Ericaceae. The record is from RefSeq and is a predicted model, not a curated record. The transcript has a single exon.
GUGCUAUGAAGAUCCAAUUUUGUGUACCAGAGACGGAUUUCUCGUGAAUCCGUCUGUGACGGCUAGCACAACCCUCUAAGAAGUUCUGAGCCU